Molecule: ribosomal RNA, 443 nt
Filed under: uncultured Glomeromycotina
Lineage: Eukaryota; Fungi; Glomeromycota
Description: SSU rRNA
Rfam family: Eukaryotic small subunit ribosomal RNA
Source: RNAcentral
AGCAGCCGCGGUAAUUCCAGCUCCAAUAGCGUAUAUUAAAGUUGUUGCAGUUAAAAGCUCGUAGUUGAAUUUCGAGACCGGUUUACUGGUCGUGCUUUUGUACGUACUGGUAUUAUUGGUUUCUCCUUUCUGACGAAUCUUAAUGCCAUUAAUUUGGUGUUUUGGAGAAUCAGGACUGUUACUUUGAAAAAUUAGAGUGUUUAAAGCAGGCUCACGCUUGAAUACAUUAGCAUGGAAUAACGGAAUAGGACGUUUGAUUCUAUUUUGUUGGUUUCUAGGAUCGACGUAAUGAUUAAUAGGGAUAGUUGGGGGCAUUAGUAUUCAAUUGUCAGAGGUGAAAUUCUUGGAUUUAUUGAAGACUAACUACUGCGAAAGCAUUUGCCAAGGAUGCUUUCAUUAAUCAAGAACGAAAGUUAGGGAUCGAAGGCGAUCAGAUACCGUCG